UACGUAGGUGGCAAGCGUUGUCCGGAAUUAUUGGGCGUAAAGCGCGCGCAGGCGGUUCCUUAAGUCUGAUGUGAAAGCCCACGGCUCAACCGUGGAGGGUCAUUGGAAACUGGGGACUUGAGUGCAGAAGAGGAGAGCGGAAUUCCACGUGUAGCGGUGAAAUGCGUAGAGAUGUGGAGGAACACCAGUGGCGAAGCGGCGCCUACUGGUCUGUAACUGACGCUGAGGCGCGAAAAGCGUGGGGAGCAAACAGGAUUAGAUACCCCGGUAGUC
Molecule: ribosomal RNA, 273 nt
Filed under: uncultured bacterium
Lineage: Bacteria
Description: partial 16S ribosomal RNA
Rfam family: Bacterial small subunit ribosomal RNA
Source: RNAcentral